Molecule: long non-coding RNA, 5812 nt
Filed under: Olea europaea subsp. europaea
Lineage: Eukaryota; Viridiplantae; Streptophyta; Magnoliopsida; Lamiales; Oleaceae
Source: RNAcentral
GUGAUUUGUGCUCUUGUUUAUAUGCUACUGAUACUCCAAAGAAGAGUUCUCAUGCCCUCUGAAGUACUUGUGUUUCUGUCCCUCCACAAAACCCAGCAUUAGACGAUACGGAGCUAACUUCCAAGUCCUUCUGUUAUCAGCUACAACUCUACUGCAUCUCGAGGAUCUCAAACAGUAAGCACCAUUGGCCUCUCUCUACUAAGUGAACUUGUGGCAAAACUCCACCAUGUAGAACUACCUCACAAUGUAUCAGCUAGUCAUGACCAUUACCUUUCCUUUUUCGGCAAAGAGAAUACAAAAUGAUGUAAAUUAUCUCACUCCUAAAAGUCUCAGCAACGCCUCUUGAGUUUUCAUCCAAACACAAAAUAUCCACUCUUUUUGGCCAUUGUUAAGCCUAACACAAUAGUGUCUAAAGAUGUACAUAAAUUGCAAACUAAAAUAGUUACCGUACAGACAGAAUAUAUAUUAUAAGUGAAAACAAUAGUCAUAGGUGUGGACACUAUAUGGGUUGGAUUGGAAACCGGUUUGGGCGAAAUCCAACCCAAUACAACUAUUGAAACCGAACUAAACCAAAUUGGUUUGGGUUUAAUUCGAUUUGUUAGUCGGUUUGGACUUCAGCCCAAAUUAAAAACAAAUCCCUGUCUGCUAUUUGUUUGGCACGUGUAUUAAAAGACAUAAUGAAAACUUUUAAGGGUCUAUUUUCACCAUUGUUAUCCCACAUAUCCAAUAGUUAUGCCAACAAAAUAAUUACACCAAAAUAAAAGCAUGGCUACAUUUACCAUUGAUCCAAGGAUUUAAAAUUUAAAAUUAAACAGCAUGUUUUGUAAAUAAGAUCCACAAGCAGGGGUGGGAAAAUAAUCAGAAAAUCUACCAAUGUGAGUCGGUUCAAUUUGGAUCAGUUUGGUUCAAUUUAUUUAAAACUAUUAAGAAGUUGGGUCAGUUGCAGGUUAAGCAACCUACCCGUUUAUGCACCAACCUAAAUCAAUCAUAUAAUAUAUAUUUGAAUAUAAUUUUAAAAUGUAAUUUUUUAACUAAAAAUUAAAAAAUAAAAAUAAACAAAACCUUAUCAUCUCUAAAUUUCAAGAAGCAAAGAAAAUAAACCUUAGCAUCUCUUGCCCACCAUUGCUAGUGCCAUCAUCCAUCUUCAUUGGCCAUUGGCCAUCUCUCUUACUCGUGUCAUUUCUCGACUAUCUCGCCUUAAAGGAGUCAUCUAAUUUGACUUGAUGUUGCCUUGAAAGUCGGACCCAUUUGACGUCAUCACAAAGACUCAAGUAAGUUCCUUCUCAUCCAAAAUUUGUUAUUUUUAUCAAAAUUAGUUGCUUCUUCAUCCGCACGAUUGAUUAAUUGAGCAAAUUAUGUAGUUGACUAUGCUUUUGAGUUUUUCUUUUAUUUUUAUAGAUUUUUAGAUCUUUUAUCUUUGAAUUUGUAGUAUACUUAUUUGAAAUAAUUUUGUUUGUUAUAGUUGAUUGAUAAUUUAUUAGAUGAAGAUGUGUGUUUGAUGUUGGAUUAGGUUUCCAUUUGUUCCGUUGCAAAGUUGUGGCUACUUGCAUGUUAUGGUUGCUGAUUUUGGACUGAGAAUAUCUUUAAAUUAUGAUUGUUGAUUGAAAAUUUGGAGUAUCCAUGUCAACCAUCUUUCUACUCGUAGGUAAUUUGGUUUUGGUUUUUGAUUUUCUGGAUUCUUUCUUCUAUUUUAAUUUGGAAGAGGUAAAUGUAAUGUCCAAUUUUAUGAUCUAUGAGAUGUAUUUUUCAGUAUGUCUCGUUAGUUUGCUUGAUGUUCAGAAGGAAGAUAAGGUUAUUUAGAUAAUUUUGAUUCUUGAUUGAAACUUGAACGAUGUAGGUUGGUAAAUUUAAUAAUUUAUUCUUACUUAUCAAAAUUGCUUAUUAAAAUCAUCUUAGUGUGAGUGGUUUUAUUAAAUUAUAAUCUGAGCUGUAUAUUUUGAUUAUGAAGUUGAUUAAUAAUUUAUUCUUACUUAUUAAAAUUGUUUUUUUUUUAAAUCAUCUUAAGUGUGAGUGGUUUUAUUAAAUCAUGAUCUGAGAUUGUUUAUUUUGAUUAUGAAGUUUUUUUUUUAUACUUGUGUUUUCCAUAAGGUUAAGGACAUGUCUAUUUUAUGCAGAUUUGAAUAUGGAUAUUGAUGAUGAAUAUCAAUAUUUCGGUAGAAUCCCAACAUGUAUAGAGGGUGUUUCAUAGGGAUUAAAAUUNNNNAUUUUUUAGUAGAUUGUGAUAGAAAUUUUUGAAAUGUGUAGUUGAUUAGUUGUGGAACCACAAAGGAUGUAAUUAAUAUUGAUUAUUUGACAUUGACUUAAAUUAAAAUUAGAUUUUAAUCCGAACCAAACAAGCUUAUAUUAUCCUCCGGUUUCACCUUUAUGUUUAGAAAAGAGAAAAAUAAAGUUUUCGAAUCAUUUUACAAUAGGAGACUCAAAGCGGAAGAUUUUUAUUGUGAGCGCAUAUAUUGUGGGUAGUUUUAUGCUUGAGAGGUUAAGAAGUGCAAGACAAGUAUUUUGAAAGCUCAUUUGGUUACUCAUAUUAAGAGGUAUCCUAGAAGAGUUGAAGAUAAAAGACAAAAAUCUCAAGUUCUAAUAAACUGUUUGAGUGUGAUGCAAGCAAUCUUCUUGUUAUUUAGUUUAGCAAAGAAGCGUGUAGGUUUUAUGUGUUGAAAUGGUAAUUAUUGAUGAACUAUUCUUUUUAAUUUUAUAGAAAGAAUUUUAUUUAAGCAGUUUUGUAUCCUUGCAUGUCCUAAGUUUAGUUGUUCAACUCAUAAGAUUAAAAAUAUUUAACUACUAUUUUAGGAUGAGAAUUGGAGUUAAGAAAGAUUCAUGCUGCUCAACGUUAAACAGUUCACUUACUAUAGAUGCUUGGACAUCCAAUCAGAAUAUAAACUUGUUUUUGUCUCGUAUUUUCAAGCUUAAGAAAAAACAAGCUGCAAAAUAUUUGUUGAGAUAAAAAAUGACGCUAGAAGAUACUUGUUUUGUAAAAAUGUAGAUGACAAAUGGUUUGGUGUCUUUAAUUGGUGAGUGAUACAUGGUAGCUAGUACCUUUUCCAAACUCGCAAAAAAUGCUUAGGUGGACUAUGAGAAAUAUGUAAUUUAUAUUUUGAAUGGAUGUCCAAGUGUCUGUAAUAAGUGAUACUUUUUUGAUUUUAAGCAAUAAGGAUAUUUUUUCAACUCCAAUUUCUUAUCCAAAUAGAGUUGGUAAAUUUCUCUAAUAAUGGUCCUACGAGAUGGAGUAUUAAACCAAGGACAUGCUACACUAAAAAACUAUCCAAAUCUCAUUCCUUCGCUAAAGCUAGAAGGGGUAGUUCAUGUUACAUUUUACCACAUGCAAGUAUGCCUGCUUCCUUUUUAAAGCCAAUAGCCUAGAAGAUUGGUCCUAUUACCCUCGAGCUGUUUAAUGAGUAACCAAAUGACCUUUCAAAGUACGUGUCCUGUGCUUUUUAGCCUCACAAGCAUAAGAUUGCUCCCAAUAUUUGCUCUCAUACUUAACAUCUUCCACUUUUGGAUCCUACUAUUGCAAAAUAAUACCACAUCCAAAGUUUUCCUAUUUUUCUCUCUUCCCUAAACAUGAGGUUGAAAGUGGAGGAAAAGUUGUAGCACUUGUACAAGUAUUUGUUGUUGCUGAGUAUCCACUGGUUUUUGAAAUUCAUCAUCAAUAUCCAUAUUCUAAUCUGUACAAUAUAGGCUUGUCGUAUUAGGAAAAACCGUGGAUAAGUAAUAUAGAUGCCAAAUAAGCAGUUCAUAUCAUAAUUUAAUCAAAAUACUUGCACUACGAUGAUUUUAAUAUGAUAAAGUAAGAAAAAAUGAUUAAUUUGCCAAACUGAGACAUUUUUUAAUCAAGAAUCAAUUUUAUCUAACAGCCUUGAGUUCCUUUUGUUCAUUAAGCAAUCUAAUAAGAUAUAAUGCAAAAUCUCAUAGAUAAUACAAAACUGGAUGUUAUAUUUGCUUCUUUCAAAUUAAAACAUAAGAGACAAUCCAAGUAAACCAAAUCACCUAGGAGUUGAAAGACUGUUGACAUUGAUAAUAAAAAAUCAUAACUGGAUAUUCCUAUCAAUCUAAAAUUAGCAACUGUAAUGGACAAUCAACCACAACUUUGCAUAGGAACAAAUAGAAAGUUAAAUCCAACAUCAAACGAAAAUUUGUCUAAUAAAUAUUGAUCUGCUAUGCUAGAGGAAAUUAUUUCAAAUUAGCAUAUACAAAUUCAAACAUAAAGAAAACCUGAAAAACCUAUAUAAUUUUGGAAAAAACUCAAAAAGUAUAGUGAGACACAUCAUUUGAGGAAUUAAUCAAUCUUCGGCCAAUGAAGAAGCAACUAAUUUUGAGAAAAAGAACAAAUUUUGAAUCAGAAGGAACUUACCUGAAUCCAUUGGAAUUACGUCAAACAGCUUCAACUUUCGAGAGAACAACAAAUCAAAGUAGUUGACUCCUUCAAGGCGAAAUGGCGAAACGACCGAGAGACAGCGAGGUGAAGACGAAUAGUGACAAUGGCGGGCUAGAGACAUUGAGGUUUCUUUUUUUUAUUGUACGAUGGAUUGAGGGAGCUUUAGGUUUUUUUAAGUUAACAGUUUUGAAUUUUAAAAUUGAAUUAAAAUAUGUGUUAUCAACUUGGUUGUUUAACCUGCAAUUGAACCAUGGGUUUAUGUUAAUCAGAUUUCAUAUUCAUAUCCAGCCCAUGGGUUUAUGUUAAUCAGAUUUCAUAUUCAUAUCCAGCCCAUGGGUUCAUAUCCAGCCCGAGGUUUUUUGAGUUAUUUCCCACCCCUACUGCUAUGUAGUAAAUUGUAAUUGUAAAUUAGUGUUCACAAAAGCUGUAAUAAAUUGAAGUAGUGAACAUCUGAAGGGCCCAUAGCCAUAUGUCGUUUCAUGUUUUACAAGGAUAUGGCAUGUUAACCAAAGUGUUGGGUUAAUAUAGAUGCACCUUAAUGCUGAAGGCAUCAAGAAACAAGCUAAAAUAUUAUUGGGAAGUAAUGAAUAUACAUGCUUCAUCCGGAAAAAUAUAGGAUUAGGGUGGGGGUUUGUCCAUUAUACUGAGAAAUCUUCACUUCGGCACCGCCAGUAUCUAGUACAGAUUUUGAAAUUUUCCUGAAAGCAGUGAACUAAUCAACUGAUAUCUUUAUGAAUCAUUGACAACCUCUGCUGCGCCGAAGGACAGUUUACCUUAAUUGCUGCUUAUUCAGGCUAAAUAUUGAUUUCUUAUAACAUUUGAGCACAAUGUUUGACAUGGAAUGUUCUUGCCCCGACUUUAGAUGACGAGUUUUCAUGUUUGAAUUUUGCAUGAGAAUAUAAUGAUCUCUGAAAUUUGAACUCGUGCAUUCUGUGAUGGCAGGUUACAGAGGCAUGAAAAGGGACUGCUACCUGGUGCUUAGACUGCUGUUAAUAUUUGUCCUUGUAACAAUAUCUUGUGCCUUAAUUCUAAGCUAUGCCAAUGCCGAUGCCAAUGUCGACGAUGAUAUCUGUUAUCCAAGACUUUGAGAGGCAGGUUUGCACAGCGAACUUUCAUUUGGUCACACAUGAUCUUUACGAGUAUAUGGUCUCUCCUAGUACUGGAAUACUUGUAUACUACCCUUGACCACUUUCUAGUAAGUCGUUUAUUAUGAUUGUUAUAAGCACUUUUGAUCAUUAUCUUAAGCAUUUCAUGGAAUUACAAGUCUCCCUAGUAAAAGUAGGGACCCUUCGUCUGGGUGGGCCAGGGUGGCAUAGGGUGCCACACGUUUAGAUGAGCUUCUAAGAGGCUUUUUAAAAAGUUUAGUAGACACUUACUUUUCAAACAAGUCAUCUUAUUAGCUCUCUUUAACUUGAACGUGUUGUUCUUUUUAGAUAUGAG